UAAGUUAGAAAGGGCACACGGUGGAUGCCUUGACACUAGGAGUCGAUGAAGGACGGGACUAACGCCGAUAUGCUUCGGGGAGCUGUAAGUAAGCUUUGAUCCGAAGAUUUCCGAAUGGGGAAACCCACCAUACGUAAUGGUAUGGUAUCCUUAUCUGAAUACAUAGGGUAAGGAAGACAGACCCAGGGAACUGAAACAUCUAAGUACCUGGAGGAAGAGAAAGCAAAUGCGAUUUCCUGAGUAGCGGCGAGCGAAACGGAACAUAGCCCAAACCAAGAGGCUUGCCUCUUGGGGUUGUAGGACAUUCUAUACGGAGUUACAAAGGAACGAGGUAGACGAAGCGACCUGGAAAGGUCCGUCGUAGAGGGUAACAACCCCGUAGUCGAAACUUCGUUCUCUCUUGAAUGUAUCCUGAGUACGGCGGAACACGUGAAAUUCCGUCGGAAUCUGGGAGGACCAUCUCCCAAGGCUAAAUACUCCCUAGUGAUCGAUAGUGAACCAGUACCGUGAGGGAAAGGUGAAAAGCACCCCGGAAGGGGAGUGAAAGAGAUCCUGAAACCGUGUGCCUACAAAUAGUCAGAGCCCGUUAACGGGUGAUGGCGUGCCUUUUGUAGAAUGAACCGGCGAGUUACGAUCCCGUGCGAGGUUAAGCUGAAGAGGCGGAGCCGCAGCGAAAGCGAGUCUGAAUAGGGCGUUUAGUACGUGGUCGUAGACCCGAAACCAGGUGAUCUACCCAUGUCCAGGGUGAAGUUCAGGUAACACUGAAUGGAGGCCCGAACCCACGCACGUUGAAAAGUGCGGGGAUGAGGUGUGGGUAGCGGAGAAAUUCCAAUCGAACCUGGAGAUAGCUGGUUCUCCCCGAAAUAGCUUUAGGGCUAGCCUUAAGUGUAAGAGUCUUGGAGGUAGAGCACUGAUUGGACUAGGGGUCCUCAUCGGAUUACCGAAUUCAGUCAAACUCCGAAUGCCAAUGACUUAUCCUUAGGAGUCAGACUGCGAGUGAUAAGAUCCGUAGUCAAAAGGGAAACAGCCCAGACCGCCAGCUAAGGUCCCAAAGUGUGUAUUAAGUGGAAAAGGAUGUGGAGUUGCUUAGACAACUAGGAUGUUGGCUUAGAAGCAGCCACCAUUUAAAGAGUGCGUAAUAGCUCACUAGUCGAGUGACUCUGCGCCGAAAAUGUACCGGGGCUAAAUACACCACCGAAGCUGCGGAUUGAUACCAAUGGUAUCAGUGGUAGGGGAGCGUUCUAAGGACAGUGAAGUCAGACCGGAAGGACUGGUGGAGUGCUUAGAAGUGAGAAUGCCGGUAUGAGUAGCGAAAGACGGGUGAGAAUCCCGUCCACCGAAUGCCUAAGGUUUCCUGAGGAAGGCUCGUCCGCUCAGGGUUAGUCAGGACCUAAGCCGAGGCCGACAGGCGUAGGCGAUGGACAACAGGUUGAUAUUCCUGUACCACCUCUUUAUCGUUUGAGCAAUGGAGGGACGCAGAAGGAUAGAAGAAGCGUGCGAUUGGUUGUGCACGUCCAAGCAGUUAGGCUGAUAAGUAGGCAAAUCCGCUUAUCGUAAAGGCUGAGCUGUGAUGGGGAAGCUCCUUAUGGAGCGAAGUCUUUGAUUCCCCGCUGCCAAGAAAAGCUUCUAGCGAGAUAAAAGGUGCCUGUACCGCAAACCGACACAGGUAGGCGAGGAGAGAAUCCUAAGGUGUGCGAGAGAACUCUGGUUAAGGAACUCGGCAAAAUGACCCCGUAACUUCGGGAGAAGGGGUGCUUUCUUAACGGAAAGCCGCAGUGAAUAGGCCCAAGCGACUGUUUAGCAAAAACACAGCUCUCUGCGAAGCCGUAAGGCGAAGUAUAGGGGGUGACACCUGCCCGGUGCUGGAAGGUUAAGGAGAGGGGUUAGCGUAAGCGAAGCUCUGAACUGAAGCCCCAGUAAACGGCGGCCGUAACUAUAACGGUCCUAAGGUAGCGAAAUUCCUUGUCGGGUAAGUUCCGACCCGCACGAAAGGUGUAACGAUUUGGGCACUGUCUCAACCAGAGACUCGGUGAAAUUAUAGUACCUGUGAAGAUGCAGGUUACCCGCGACAGGACGGAAAGACCCCGUGGAGCUUUACUGUAGCCUGAUAUUGAAUUUUGGUACAGUUUGUACAGGAUAGGCGGGAGCCUUUGAAACCGGAGCGCUAGCUUCGGUGGAGGCGCUGGUGGGAUACCGCCCUGACUGUAUUGAAAUUCUAACCUACGGGUCUUAUCGACCCGGGAGACAGUGUCAGGUGGGCAGUUUGACUGGGGCGGUCGCCUCCUAAAGUGUAACGGAGGCGCCCAAAGGUUCCCUCAGAAUGGUUGGAAAUCAUUCGUAGAGUGCAAAGGCAUAAGGGAGCUUGACUGCGAGACCUACAAGUCGAGCAGGGACGAAAGUCGGGCUUAGUGAUCCGGUGGUUCCGCAUGGAAGGGCCAUCGCUCAACGGAUAAAAGCUACCCCGGGGAUAACAGGCUUAUCUCCCCCAAGAGUCCACAUCGACGGGGAGGUUUGGCACCUCGAUGUCGGCUCAUCGCAUCCUGGGGCUGUAGUCGGUCCCAAGGGUUGGGCUGUUCGCCCAUUAAAGCGGUACGCGAGCUGGGUUCAGAACGUCGUGAGACAGUUCGGUCCCUAUCCGUCGUGGGCGUAGGAAAUUUGAGAGGAGCUGUCCUUAGUACGAGAGGACCGGGAUGGACGCACCGCUGGUGUACCAGUUGUUCUGCCAAGGGCAUAGCUGGGUAGCUAUGUGCGGAAGGGAUAAGUGCUGAAAGCAUCUAAGCAUGAAGCCCCCCUCAAGAUGAGAUUUCCCAUAGCGUAAGCUAGUAAGAUCCCUGAAAGAUGAUCAGGUUGAUAGGUUCGAGGUGGAAGCAUGGUGACAUGUGGAGCUGACGAAUACUAAUAGAUCGAGGACUUAACCA
RNAcentral lists this ribosomal RNA (2918 nucleotides) under Bacillus cereus D17. RNAcentral describes it as "bacterial LSU rRNA". It matches the Rfam family "Bacterial large subunit ribosomal RNA". The record is from RNAcentral. Lineage: Bacteria; Bacillati; Bacillota; Bacilli; Caryophanales; Bacillaceae.